RNAcentral lists this transfer RNA (63 nucleotides) under Tanystylum orbiculare. Its description in RNAcentral is "tRNA-Tyr". The record is from RNAcentral. Lineage: Eukaryota; Metazoa; Arthropoda; Pycnogonida; Pantopoda; Tanystylidae.
GGUAAUAUGUCUGAUUAAAGUAAUAAAUUGUAAAUUUAUUUAAGGAUAAAAUUCCUAUUACCA